GUCCCUUUAAUGACAUUAAUUACGCUCAAGUUCUGUUUCUUAACUAAGCAAAGUCAAAAUUUUAUUCUUUAUUAAAAAUGAGCAAAAAAUAGGACAGUAAUUAGGACAGUGCAACGAUAUAGGACGAAAUAGGAGUUCAUUCAGUCGAAGCGAUAAAUUUACCCAUUUUUAAUUUUGGCUGAGAGAAAAAACGUGGGCCGAAAACGUCACAGGAUGUCAGUGGAGGGAUAACUUAAAGGGUAUUAAAUUGCAUUUUAAUUAGGAAAUUACGGUAGAAAAUGUGCAGGUGAAAGAAGAAUGGAUGGAUGGGAAUUGGAAAUGUUAGUACAACAGGGGAAUCUCAGAAACACAAAAGUUUUUUUAGAAAGUUUCCAGACUAUCUUUUGGAGGAAAUCUCAGUGUUUUUUGCGGUGUGAGGCCGCUGACCCAAACGACGCCUUCGCGCUGAAACAGAAAAUUUGUCAUGCGGAAUCUUAAAUAAAGCCAGACUCAAAUUGGUGCUCCUCGAGAGUAAUUCCGAAA
This 522-nucleotide long non-coding RNA is filed under the name Hermetia illucens (black soldier fly). Its description in RNAcentral is "uncharacterized LOC119653261, transcript variant X2". Lineage: Eukaryota; Metazoa; Arthropoda; Insecta; Diptera; Stratiomyidae. The record is from RNAcentral.